This is a non-coding RNA of Cinara cedri, 357 nucleotides long. NCBI's taxonomy places the organism in Eukaryota, Metazoa, Arthropoda, Insecta, Hemiptera, Aphididae. The record is from the annotation of a GenBank genome assembly.
ACGGACGUGAUAACGACCCCCUCCUCCCCUACCCCUCCAUCACCCUCACUCAUACGAUAUUUGCGUUUGAAAAUCGAUAGCUAAAACGAAACGAUUUCGUCUUCUGUAUAAUUAUACUGUCGGUGUUCGUGUAUUUGAUUGAAUAACGGUUAAAAACGUAAAUGUGACGGUCAACGGAGCGGCGGGACCCCGCGGACUCCACCGCUACUGUGAGCUCGCCCUCGGCCGGGAGGAACAACUAUUAGUUUUAAUGUACGGUUCGUACGUGUAAACAAAUUUACGAGCAAAAGUCUCACUCCGAUCAAAAGCCUUGCGGGAACUUUCCGGUGAAAAAUCGUAUCUUAAUGUCGUGAAGAU